This 846-nucleotide long non-coding RNA is filed under the name Scleropages formosus (Asian bonytongue). RNAcentral's name for it is "lncRNA (ENSSFOG00015031517.1)". The record is from RNAcentral. Lineage: Eukaryota; Metazoa; Chordata; Actinopteri; Osteoglossiformes; Osteoglossidae.
GUCGCCUGUCUCCCGCGGACUGGAGACUUUAAUCCGGAGACUCGAGACGCGAGCCGAAACGGUCGCGGAGGUGCGCGCGCGCGCGCGCAAACGAUUGAGCGGCUCGCGCUAGCGACGCCCCGCGAGCGACAACGGUUUUUUUAAACCGUCCACCUCGGUUUGCGAGAGGACUUCUCAACUUGCUGUUGCACUCCUGCAGCCGACGCCUCCGAUACUUUCAAAAAUGAAUCGCAAAGGAAGUGGUUCACGAAGUGACUGGUAUAAAGAUGAGUCCUGGUGGUACCCAAGGCUUGGUGAGAAUGAAGAUGCCUGGGUACCGAGAGAAGGGGAUGUUCAACAAGAGCCAAAAAGGAUAGAGCCACAGUGGCACACUGUCUUCCCUGCCAAGGUGUUCAAAGUCUUGGUUUACUGUAGGACAGUCAUAUUCAGCUGCUGAAAGGCCAUAUAUAUGAUGUUUCUGCUCCAGCCAGCCUACGCCUCAGUUUUGAUAUUUUUGACAAAAUUUUAUAUUUUUCCAUCUAUUAUAUAUUUUGGGAAAAAUGUACUUGUAUAAAUACAGUGGAUUAUUAGCGACUGGUUGUACCAGUUAAACCAUCGGAAAUGGUUGGAAUGAAAUGCAAUGCAAACAUGGCUUAUAAGGAAUUGUCACCCCAGUUUACUGAAACCUCAUAUUUUAAAGUUUGCAAAAAUUUGAAUAAUUACACAUUCUAGAAACUGUAUGUCUGCUAAGGGCAGUAAUCUGAUGUUUCUCAGGUCCUGCUUUUGAACUCUGACUAAAUAAUUACAUACUGCUCAGUUUUUGGCCUGGAAAAUAAAUAAAUAAAAAUAUUUAUACUUGCCUCUUAU